UCCUCAGUAGCUCAAGCGGUAGAGCAUCUGAUCAUUAAUCAGAGAGGCGCUGGUUCGAGUCCAGCUUUGGGAA
This 73-nucleotide transfer RNA is filed under the name Sphingobacterium deserti. It matches the Rfam family "tRNA". From Rfam's summary of the family: Transfer RNA (tRNA) molecules are approximately 80 nucleotides in length. Their secondary structure includes four short double-helical elements and three loops (D, anti-codon, and T loops). Further hydrogen bonds mediate the characteristic L-shaped molecular structure. tRNAs have two regions of fundamental functional importance: the anti-codon, which is responsible for specific mRNA codon recognition, and the 3' end, to which the tRNAs corresponding amino acid is attached (by aminoacyl-tRNA synthetases). tRNAs cope with the degeneracy of the genetic code in two manners: having more than one tRNA (with a specific anti-codon) for a particular amino acid; and 'wobble' base-pairing, i.e. permitting non-standard base-pairing at the 3rd anti-codon position. Lineage: Bacteria; Pseudomonadati; Bacteroidota; Sphingobacteriia; Sphingobacteriales; Sphingobacteriaceae. The record is from Rfam by way of RNAcentral.